AUUAGUUGCUACAUUCAGUUGGGCACUCUAAUGAGACUGCCGGUGACAAGCCGGAGGAAGGUGGGGAUGACGUCAAGUCCUCAUGGCCCUUAUAGGUGGGCUACACACGUCAUACAAUGGCUGGUACAAAGGGUUGCCAACCCGCGAGGGGAGCCAAUCCCAUAAAGCCAGUCGUAGUCCGGAUCGUAGUCUGCAACUCGACUACGUGAAGUCGGAAUCGCUAGUAAUCGUGGAUCAGAAUGUCACGGUGAAUACGUUCCCGGGUCUU
Molecule: ribosomal RNA, 268 nt
Filed under: uncultured Rhodoferax sp.
Lineage: Bacteria; Pseudomonadati; Pseudomonadota; Betaproteobacteria; Burkholderiales; Comamonadaceae
Description: partial 16S ribosomal RNA
Rfam family: Bacterial small subunit ribosomal RNA
Source: RNAcentral